ACACCUGAAGAGGAGCGGGCGCGAGAUUGCGCUGCCCAUUGAAGCCUGUGUCAUGCUGCUUCUGGAGACAGGCAUGAAGGAGGAGGGCCUUUUCCGAAUUGGGGCUGGGGCCUCCAAGUUAAAGAAGCUGAAAGCUGCUUUGGACUGUUCUACUUCUCACCUGGAUGAGUUCUAUUCAGACCCCCAUGCUGUAGCAGGUGCUUUAAAAUCCUAUUUACGGGAAUUGCCUGAACCUUUGAUGACUUUUAAUCUGUAUGAAGAAUGGACACAAGUUGCAAGGUAUGUAUGAUUGAGCUACAAUGACUCUGGAGUGAAGAUAAGUUUAAUGCCCAGCAGAGAAGUCAUUUAAUUCAGGCAUACUUGGCACAUUAAAAAACAACAACAACAACAACAACAAAAACACAUCACUUUGGAGAGUAACUUGGGGCUACUGGGAAUGGGAUUUCAUGUAUAUUAUGAUGAAUUUGAAGCAUCAGUAUCAUGCCUGACAUUAAUACAUAAGUUGGCUUAUCAUUUUCCCACUACAGCUAUUAGCAAUAAAUUUCUUGUGAAAAGUU
This 557-nucleotide small RNA is filed under the name Pan troglodytes (chimpanzee). RNAcentral's name for it is "processed transcript". Lineage: Eukaryota; Metazoa; Chordata; Mammalia; Primates; Hominidae. The record is from RNAcentral.